CCUACGGGUGGCAGCAGUGAGGAAUAUUGGUCAAUGGACGAGAGUCUGAACCAGCCAAGUAGCGUGAAGGAUGACUGCCCUAUGGGUUGUAAACUUCUUUUAUAUGGGAAUAAAACGUUCCACGUGUGGGAUUUUGUAUGUACCAUAUGAAUAAGGAUCGGCUAACUCCGUGCCAGCAGCCGCGGUAAUACGGAGGAUCCGAGCGUUAUCCGGAUUUAUUGGGUUUAAAGGGAGCGUAGGUGGAUGGUUAAGUCCGUGGUGAAAGUUUGCGGCUCAACCGUAAAAGUGCAGUUGAAACUGGCAGUCUUGAGUACAGUAGAGGUGGGCGGAAUUCGUGGUGUAGCGGUGAAAUGCUUAGAUAUCACGAAGAACUCCGAUUGCGAAGGCAGUUCACUGGACUGCAACUGACACUGAGGCUCGAAAGUGUGGGUAUCAAACAGGAUUAGAUACCCUUGUAGUC
Molecule: ribosomal RNA, 460 nt
Filed under: uncultured bacterium
Lineage: Bacteria
Description: partial 16S ribosomal RNA
Rfam family: Bacterial small subunit ribosomal RNA
Source: RNAcentral